RNAcentral lists this ribosomal RNA (1480 nucleotides) under uncultured Bordetella sp. RNAcentral's name for it is "partial 16S-23S ribosomal RNA intergenic spacer". It matches the Rfam family "Bacterial small subunit ribosomal RNA". The record is from RNAcentral. Lineage: Bacteria; Pseudomonadati; Pseudomonadota; Betaproteobacteria; Burkholderiales; Alcaligenaceae.
GAGUUCGAUUAUGGCUCAGAUUGAACGCUGGCGGGAUGCUUUACACAUGCAAUGAACGGCAGCACGGACUUCGGUCUGGUGGCGAGUGGCGAACGGGUGAGUAAUGGUAUCGGAACGUGCCUAGUAGCGGGGGAUAACUACGCGAAAGCGUAGCUAAUACCGCAUAUUGCCUCUUCGGGGGAAAGCGGGGGACCUUUCGGGCCUCGCACUAUUAGAGCGGGCUGAUAUCGGAUUAGCUAGUUGGGUGGGGUAACGGCUCACCAAGGCGACGAUCCGUAGCUGGUUUGAGAGGGACGACCAGCCACACUGGGACUGAGACACGGCCCAGACUCCUACGGGAGGCAGCAGUGGGGAAUUUUGACAAUGGGGGAAAACCCCUGAUCCAGCCAUCCUGCGUGUGCGAUGAAGGCCUUCGGGUUGGGAAGGUUCUUUGGCAGGAAAGAAACGCACGGGAUAAUACCCCGUGCAACUGACGGUACCUGCAGAAUAAGCGCACCGGCUAACUACGUGCCAGCAGCCGCGGUAAUGUAGUGCAAGCGUUAAUCGGAAUUACUGGGCGUAAAGCGUGCGCAGGCGGUUCGGAGAAAGAUGUGAACCGCAGAGCUUAACUGAACUGCAUUUUUAACUACUGAGCUAGAGUGUGUCAGAGGGAGGUACCCGCGUAGCAGUGAAAUGCGUAGAUAUGCGGAGGAACACCGAUGGCGAAGGCAGCCUCCUGGGAUAACACUGACGCUCAUGCACGAAAGCGUGGGGAGCAAACAGAUUAGAUACCCUGGUAGUCCACGCCCUAAACGAUGUCAACUAGCUGUUGGGUCCUUCGGGCCUUGGUAGCGCAGCUAAUCGCGUGAAGUUGACCGCCUGGGGAGUAUACGGUCGCAAGAUUAAAACUCAAAGGAAUUGACGGGGACCCGCACAAGCGGUGGAUGAUGUGGAUUAAUUCGAUGCAACGCGAAAAACUCCACUACCCUUGACAUGUCUGGAAUCCCGAGCAGAUUUGGGAGUGCUCGCAAGAGAACUGAACACAGGUGCUGCAUGGCUGUCGUCAGCUCGUGCUUCUGCGAGAUGCUGCUGUUCCGCAACGAGCGAGCGCAACCUCUUGUCAUUAGUUGCUGAAAGGGCACUCUAAUGAGACUGCCGGUGACAAACCGGAGGAAGGUGGGGAUGACGUCAAGUCCCUGCGGCCCUUAUGGGUAGGGCUUCACACGUCAUACAAUGGUCGGGACAGAGGGUCGCCAACCCGCGAGGGGGAGCCAAUCCCAGAAACCCGAUCGUAGUCCGGAUCGCAGUCUGCAACUCGACUGCGGAAGUCGGAAUCGCUAGUAAUCGCGGAUCAGCAUGUCGCGGUGAAUACGUUCCCGGGUCUUGUACACACCGCCCGUCACACCAUGGGAGUGGGUUUUACCGGAAGUAGUUAGUUCAACGUAAGGAGGGCGAUUACCACAGUAGGAUUCAUGACUGGGGUGAAGUCGUAACAAGGUAA